RNAcentral lists this ribosomal RNA (1554 nucleotides) under Escherichia coli. Its description in RNAcentral is "bacterial SSU rRNA". It matches the Rfam family "Bacterial small subunit ribosomal RNA". The record is from RNAcentral. Lineage: Bacteria; Pseudomonadati; Pseudomonadota; Gammaproteobacteria; Enterobacterales; Enterobacteriaceae.
AAAUUGAAGAGUUUGAUCAUGGCUCAGAUUGAACGCUGGCGGCAGGCCUAACACAUGCAAGUCGAACGGUAACAGGAAGCAGCUUGCUGCUUUGCUGACGAGUGGCGGACGGGUGAGUAAUGUCUGGGAAACUGCCUGAUGGAGGGGGAUAACUACUGGAAACGGUAGCUAAUACCGCAUAACGUCGCAAGACCAAAGAGGGGGACCUUCGGGCCUCUUGCCAUCGGAUGUGCCCAGAUGGGAUUAGCUUGUUGGUGGGGUAACGGCUCACCAAGGCGACGAUCCCUAGCUGGUCUGAGAGGAUGACCAGCCACACUGGAACUGAGACACGGUCCAGACUCCUACGGGAGGCAGCAGUGGGGAAUAUUGCACAAUGGGCGCAAGCCUGAUGCAGCCAUGCCGCGUGUAUGAAGAAGGCCUUCGGGUUGUAAAGUACUUUCAGCGGGGAGGAAGGGAGUAAAGUUAAUACCUUUACUCAUUGACGUUACCCGCAGAAGAAGCACCGGCUAACUCCGUGCCAGCAGCCGCGGUAAUACGGAGGGUGCAAGCGUUAAUCGGAAUUACUGGGCGUAAAGCGCACGCAGGCGGUUUGUUAAGUCAGAUGUGAAAUCCCCGGGCUCAACCUGGGAACUGCAUCUGAUACUGGCAAGCUUGAGUCUCGUAGAGGGGGGUAGAAUUCCAGGUGUAGCGGUGAAAUGCGUAGAGAUCUGGAGGAAUACCGGUGGCGAAGGCGGCCCCCUGGACGAAGACUGACGCUCAGGUGCGAAAGCGUGGGGAGCAAACAGGAUUAGAUACCCUGGUAGUCCACGCCGUAAACGAUGUCGACUUGGAGGUUGUGCCCUUGAGGCGUGGCUUCCGGAGCUAACGCGUUAAGUCGACCGCCUGGGGAGUACGGCCGCAAGGUUAAAACUCAAAUGAAUUGACGGGGGCCCGCACAAGCGGUGGAGCAUGUGGUUUAAUUCGAUGCAACGCGAAGAACCUUACCUGGUCUUGACAUCCACAGAACCUUGUAGAGAUACGAGGGUGCCUUCGGGAACUGUGAGACAGGUGCUGCAUGGCUGUCGUCAGCUCGUGUUGUGAAAUGUUGGGUUAAGUCCCGCAACGAGCGCAACCCUUAUCCUUUGUUGCCAGCGGUCCGGCCGGGAACUCAAAGGAGACUGCCAGUGAUAAACUGGAGGAAGGUGGGGAUGACGUCAAGUCAUCAUGGCCCUUACGACCAGGGCUACACACGUGCUACAAUGGCGCAUACAAAGAGAAGCGACCUCGCGAGAGCAAGCGGACCUCAUAAAGUGCGUCGUAGUCCGGAUUGGAGUCUGCAACUCGACUCCAUGAAGUCGGAAUCGCUAGUAAUCGUGGAUCAGAAUGCCACGGUGAAUACGUUCCCGGGCCUUGUACACACCGCCCGUCACACCAUGGGAGUGGGUUGCAAAAGAAGUAGGUAGCUUAACCUUCGGGAGGGCGCUUACCACUUUGUGAUUCAUGACUGGGGUGAAGUCGUAACAAGGUAACCGUAGGGGAACCUGCGGUUGGAUCACCUCCUUACCUUAAAGAAGC